Molecule: transfer RNA, 72 nt
Filed under: Marmota marmota marmota (Alpine marmot)
Lineage: Eukaryota; Metazoa; Chordata; Mammalia; Rodentia; Sciuridae
Also listed under: 1 other name
Rfam family: tRNA
About the family: Transfer RNA (tRNA) molecules are approximately 80 nucleotides in length.
Source: Rfam by way of RNAcentral
GGGCAUGUGGCUCAGGGGUAGAGUGCUUGCCUAGCAUGCAUGAGGCCCUGGGUUCCAUCCCCAGCACCACCA